GGUAACGGAUUAAGCUUUACUGGACCACGCUCUCACAUUUUGGUCGGUGUUUUUCUUUUGCGUUUGUUUUCGCACCGGAAAUUAACAAAGCCGAAAUCAUAUUUACCCAAAAGAAUAUUACUACCUGUAUAAUAUGUAUAAUAUUAAUACUAGAUUUUGAUCCAGGCUUUCAAAACGCAUAAUUUUUUGUUGUUGAAUUAACCCAUCUGGUUUUUCUCUAAUAUGUUUAUACAUAGAUGUUUGAUGUUCAGUUCAGUUCAAUCUCGAUUUUGGUUUAGUUCUAGUUUGGUUGUGGUUAUCUGUUUCUCUAGUUCAAGAGAUAUAAAAACUGUUUAGUUAUUUUUGAAUGUGGGUUUGAUUUCAAUUUGGUUAUUUUGGCUUUCAGUUUGGUUUGAACAACAAUGUUAGAAACCCAAUAAAUUUUUUAGUUCAGUUCUUAUGAAAAAUGCAGGUAAAAAAAACUCUUUUUUAAAAAAGUUUUUUUUAUAAAAUAUCAGAUAAUUUGGAUAAAUUUAAAUAUUUUGAAAUAUAACAUUUGGGUGAUUUGUGUUAAUAGAGAAUUUAGGCUAAUUUUGAAUAUUCUUGAAUACCAAAUAAAAAUCAUUUAAAUCUCUAACAAAUCAAUUGUUAUAUUAGGUGAAAAUUACUAAUGAAAUAAUCUAAAUCUAGAUUUUGACCAGCACGUCCGUGCAGAUAUUUUAUUCAGUUAUAGAUGUUUAAAUAAGGGUGGAACAUAUCAGAUUUGGAUUCGACGGAUCCGUAGAUUAGUAUCUAGAUUAUUCGGAAAAAUAAUUAAAAAAAUUAAAAUACUAAUUUUUUUUAAAAAAUACAUACAUUAAAUAUUUAUACAACAUUAUCAAUAUAUAUUUAUAAGUAUAUAAUAUUAGAAAUUGAAAUAUAAUUUUAUAAAAAUAAUUUUAUGUAUAAAUAAAAUAUAUCAAAUAUAAUGAUUAGUAAAAUUUCAAAAUUAAUAUAUUUUAAAAUACGGAUCUUGAUCCGUAUAUCCAGAUCUAAAAAUCAAGAUACUCAUAUUCAGAUUCAGUUUUGGCGGAUCCAAGAUUUUACUAUUCGAAUCUGAAUUCAGACACCUCUGGUAUCAUAUUUUCAGAGUGGAUCUAAGAUCGAAUCCGACCUUAGAUAAUAAGUCUCAUGCCUAGUUUAAAACAUUUUAGAAAGGCCUAUUUUUAGGUUUUUAACAUUUUAGAAUGACCUCAACUUGUUUUUUCAUAUUUAGCUACUAAAUUUAUCUUUUAAUGAGAUUUUAAUAUCCAUAUCCGGAUUCAGAUGUUCCAGAUAUCCUAUUUUCAAAACGGAUCUCAGAUCGAGUCCAAAUUCUGAAUAAUAAGUCUCCUGUAUUGUUUUAAACAUUUUAGAAUGAUUCUAUUUUUAUGUUUUUAACAUUUUAGAACGACCUCAACUAGUUUGUUCAUGUUUAGCUACUGAAUUUAUUUUUUAAUGAAAUUGUUUUUUUCUACGACUGUGUGUUAAGUAAUCAUUUUAUUUUGUCAAAUAUUCUCUAUGUUUCAUAAUAAGUGUCAUUAUAACAUUUUUUAUUGUUAUGCAAAAAGUGUCACUUUAGAAUUUCAAUGUAAAUAAAUAUAUUUACUUUCAGCUGAAAAUUAAUUGCAAACUGCAUUGAUUUUAUAAAUAAUUUUAUUUAACUCAAAUAUUAUUGGUCAAAUGUGUGUAAUUAAUAACAAUUUUAAUACAUUUCAAUCAAUUUUUUAAUCUGUGUGAAAAAUGUCAAAGUGACACUUAUUAAAAAACGAAGGGAAUAUAACAAUAAAAUGCAGCAUAUUUGAGUUUUAAAUUACCUUUUAUUAUAUUAAAUCUAGAUAUGGUUAUUUAAAUUUGAAAUUUAUAUAUAAAGAUCAAAUUUUAUUUUUAUUAUAUUCGAAAUUAUUUUAUUAAAAAUUUUAUAUAUGAUUUAAAACAAUAUUAUUUGUUGGUAUAUGUUUUGAUAGAUUAUAUUUAUGUAUACAUUUGUUGCCAAUUUAGAUAGUUUGUGUGUGUAUGAAUGUGAUAAAAUUGUAAUAAUACAUAAAUAAAUUUUAGAAUUGUUUUGAUAAUUAGUCACCCCAACAAAAGAGAUAUUGUCGUAUAUGAUAAUAUACAUAUGAUGUCGGUUAAAAUUUUAAAACAAUCUCUCUUCACUCUCUGUUCUCUCUCUAGUAUCUCUCACAGAGAGGAAGAGAAGAGAUGAUAUCCCUUUUGUUUUUUGGUUUAUGAUCAUUAGAUCAGAGUUAUGUUCGGCUUGUCCGAGUAAAUAUUCCGGUUAGCGGAUUUCUUGUUUUCGCUAUGGCGAUUUUGUUGUGUUCUUCGAUCCGCAACAGAGUUGCUUCAAUUCGUCUUUUUUUUUCUCUGUUUUGUUGGAUCGAUUAAUAAAAUUUCGAGUCAGAGUUUCACUUCUCACUUCGUUCUUAAUUCUAUCCCGUAAAUACCAUCUCAGACACUUGCUUCACUGUCACUUUAACUGUUUUUUAGGAGAAUCAAUCUUCACUUUGUCUUUGCCAUCUAUGGUGUAUUGUGAAGCUUCUUCGAUUGAAAGAAAGUUAGGUAAGAUGGAAUUUUUUGGUCAUCUUUGGAGUAGAUUCAGCAGAGCCGGUGUUAUUUGUAACGGUCCGGCAUAGAGUCUUCCUUCAAUUUCGACUGAAGCUUCCUCAAGCUCAAUCUGGUGAAGCAAACUCCCUCUGCUUUGGUAGUUUACGGUUUAAGUGGAAAGUAUCUCAGGAUUUACAAGCAUAGAUCAUUGAACCGGCGGUGGUAGCUUGUUCUGAUGAGAACUUACGGCGGCGCACUAACACUGGAUCCUCAUCUUGGGCGGAGGCGUGUUACGAAAUUGGAGACGUGGCGAGUUUCUGACCUAGGACACUCAUGCAAGAGCGUUUGAUUACGCGUGUCUCUUAUUGCUUCUGCAGUCAACGCACGUUCCUUAAUACGACACUUUCUCGAAGAUAUUGAUCCAAAUCAAUAUAAUGGAUUGGGGAUUUGAGCUUUAAUUUUAAUUCGAGAUUGUAAAUGAUGGGGAUUGGUUUUAUGAUGUAUUGCUUGUAACUUUGUCCAUUGGGCCAAAGAAAUGAAAUCUAAAGUCGACAAAAAAAAAAAACAUAUGAUGUCGUUUGUAGGAAUUUGGACCCAUCAUUAAAGCCCACCAAAAUGAUUGCCGUUAACUAUAAUGUCCUAAUUUUAUUACCUUCGCCAGUUCGCUGGUUUUAUAAAUUUUAAAACGACAUUUUACAACCCAGUAGCAGUUUAUAGUAAAUAUUUAGAAAAAGACAAGGUAAAAUUUGUUUCGUACUUCUGUUUUAAUAGUUUAGAUUAAAUGUAUUUUUUAUAUAACUCAAAUCAAUCAAUAUAUAAUAUCACAUGAUAUCUUUUGGAAGUGGAGUUGAGUUGUUUUCCCAUAUGUGCCUUUAACAUCAGAGAGCUUACGCAAAUCAUCAAACUUGAGGAUUUUUGUGUCACCACAUAUGGUUCCUACAAUCAAAACUUUCUUGAUGGUUCAAUGACAUAAAUUUCAUAAGACCAAAAUCCAUAAUAAGAUGCUAUGAAACCGAAGUCUAACUACCUCUUGAUCGCUUUCAUCCUCUUUCUUAGAUGUUCCAGUUCCACAAAGCCAUUCAACAGAUUUUUUUUAUUUAUAUCCCUCCCUUACUUAAAAACUGUCGUUUUUGAUUCUUGAUGAUAUUUUCUCUGAUCGAUGGGAUUGUCUUAGAGAAAAAGGAUCUUUAAUGAUGUUUAGGCCAUAAGUUUUAUGCCAUGACUGCAACAUUUUCUUCGGAAGAACUAUUUCAGAUAUAUUCCAAUAGAUUAACGGAAAAGAGAGCGAGGUGAAGAGGGCAGAAGAAAAAGGGUUGUGAUGUAUAAUUAGGGUAUUGUUAGUUUUAAAUGUUUAGUUUUUUUUUUUUUUUUUUUUUUUUUUUUUUUUUAAAAAAGAAAUAAACAUACCUCAAUAAUUAGAUCAAAUCUUGUACUCGUGUACACGCAACCACUUUGUGGAUGACCACUUGUUCCCUUUGAUUACAGCACAUCCACCUGCACAAAGUGGAUCAAAUAACUAAUAUCAUAAAAUCCACUGUAGGACAAACACAGCUCCCAAUCCAUCUAAAACUUAUCUAUAUCUACUGACCGUGAAGACUAGAUGGGUCUAGAGUGGCGUCAGGUGUCAUGCUCCAGAAAAGCAAUGCAUCUCCCAUCUUUGGUUUCACGGACAGCCCUCCUUUCCCGCACUCUGACAGCUCAUUCCACCACGGCACUGCGCUAUAGUUUCCCUUGGCUGAGGGAAACACUGUCUCACCCCCCUCCUCUACAUCUGACCUGCACAGUAGCUAAACAGCGUUAAAAAAAAAAGAAAAAAGAAAAAGAACACAACAGCAACAUCUUGUUGGAGUCCAAAGUCUAUUCAGUUACAUACAGGUACAUGAGAACAGUGGCAAUCCGCUGCCCUCCGUUCCUAGUGUUAUACUCAUCCAUAAAGUAGUCAUAGUGAGGCUCGUACUUUUGCCCUAUUUCAUAGUGCAGAACUUGAAGACCUUCCCCAUGCUCUGCACAUUGUAAGAACCAGUCAAGCAUAUGCUCCACAAAGAGCUGACCCUAAGGAGAAAUGGGAUUUUAAGAAAAGGUAAAAAUAAUAAAGUCUUUCAAGCACAUACCAACUGGUAUGAAGGUAAAAUCUGAUAUCCUUUUCUCGAUUUGACGGAUGAUUUUGUCGCGUCCUCUUGGAAGAAAAGUCCCAGAGCUCGUUCUCACCCUAUUGAGGAGAAGUGGAUGUCAGUAAAAGAGAGGAGGAAAGAAGCCUACUGAUGAUUCACUUGAUAGUUGAAGGAAGACCUGCUAUCUGUGCUCUUUCCAGUCUUCUGAUCGACAACAGUUGACUUCUCCAUAUGCGGUUUAGCUAGCUCUAUUAGAUACUUGCAUUCCUCCUUCGUCUAUCGUGAAUAAUAAUUAACACACGUCCCUAGUCAGUUAGCACACACUAACAACAACUAAUGAAAAUCACUUCCCUAGUUUUACUUUUUCUUUCAAAUCACAGCUAGUGAUCAUAAUAUCACCUACUCUACGGAAUCAAUUGUUGAUAUCUACUGAAAAAAAACAGAUUCGCUCACCAAGAAAUUGUGGUAAAUAGAAGCUCUGGGUUCCCAAGAUAUAAUUUCAACCCAACGCUCAUUCUCCGAAGCAUCUUUGCCGCUUCUGCGGAAUAAAAAGAAUACCAAAGAUGAUGAUAAAUAAACACGCCAGAUCUUAUAUUUGAAUCGGGAUUUUUUUUGGUACCUCUGAAGGUUUUUACGGACAAUGGAAGUGAGAUCAUUGGCCUUGGAUGACCCGCCAUUGUUGCUGGGCAGCGAGAGAAUUCCAAGCGCGAGAAGGAACAAAAUCACGAAAGUGAACAUAAUCAACACCGCGAAGACGAGGGUUGAGUACGACGUUUUCCGACGGUGAUGAUUCCUCUGUCGCGCCAUCAUUUUUGCAAAGGAUCGAUUUCUCAGAUCCGAAAGAAGCAGAGAGGAGCAGCAGUAAGCAAAUCCUCUGCGUAGGAGAGAUUAAACAAACAAACCGGAUGACGGAAGAGGCUUUACAUAGACGGGCCUCAGGCCCAUUUAAUUAGGCCCAAUAAGGGAAGGUGCUUUUCGAAUGAAUGGCAAAAAUAAUCGUCUUCAUCCCCAGAGAGAGAAUCCGAUAAGGCGAGAGAGAGAGAGAGAGAGAAUGCAGCUCGCCACCACCAUUUCUCUACUCCUGCCAUCUCCAUCUCGACUCUCUCCUUCUCUUCAGUCGCUGACUAUCCCCAGGAGAUCAAGCUCUGUCUCAUACUCUUCACAAACGUCGAUUCUCCCGGAUGCCGCCGAUGACUUCACCGUGGGAGACUGUCUCGUCUACGAGGACGGCGUCUUCGAAGACCCUUACCUCGAGGAGGAGGUCAGUCUCGAAGCGGUCAAAGAGCGGAAGAGUCCGAGGCGGCGGGGCAGGGGAAAGAGAAUAGUUCAAGCGGCGGCGGCGGCGGAGAUCGAGCCGGAGAACCUCGUGCCGGAUGAGUGGAGGGAUGUUCAGGCGGAGGUGAACCUGACGAAGAAGGACAAGAGGAAAAUAGCGCAGGAGCUGGAGUUCGGAGUGAGUGUGGAGAAGAAGAGGCAAGGGCUGAUUCCGCUGAGGAAGGUGGAUUUGAAGGAGUAUUUAACGUACAAGGAAGCCAAGCUGGAUCAGUUGAAACCUGUUGUUCUCGAUAAACCGACGACGUUUGAUGGAGAGGGAGGAGAGAGGGGUGAAGAAACGUAUUCGAGUGAGCGAGUAGCACCGAAGAACCCUAGAUGGGCGGUUUAUGGAAAAGGAUUCGAACAAGUCACCAAGUUCUUCAAUAGCGAUAAGUAUGAUCCCAGUGGCAAGAAGCUCGACGGCCCUCGGAAGCUGCUUUCUAAAGAAGAGAAGUUUAUGCUCAAUAGCCGAAAUCCUCACCUAGCUGUUGCCACCUCAGUAAGUGAUUUUUUCUUUUUUUUUUACUAUUUGAUUUUUGAGUUCUGUUUUAAGUUUGAACCAGCAGUAACCUAAUGUUGGUUGUGUUUUUCAGAAAAAGUGGCUUCCUCUUCACACACUGGCAGCUUCGGGAGAAUUUUAUCUGGUUGACUCCUUGCUUAAGCACAAUCUUGAUAUCAAUGCAACGGACGUGGUAUGUGGAUUUUUAUCUGAAUCUUUUGCUCUUUUUGUAUAUAAUCUAGUAGUGUUUUUUUUAAUAUAAUUUGUAUAUGGAAUCUAGGGCGGCUUGACAGCACUUCACCGAGCAAUAAUAGGUAAAAAACAGGCGAUUACAAACUACCUGCUGAGGGAAUCGGCAAACCCGUUUGUUCUUGAUGAUGUAAGUGGUCGGUCACCUUGUAAUAAUCUCUCUCCCUUGCUUCAGAUGCUGCUGCGAUCUGAUUAGUUCGUUUAUGUGUUAGGAAGGUGCGACUUUGAUGCACUAUGCUGUGCAGACAGCAUCAGCUCCCACAAUAAAACUUCUCCUGCUGUAUAACGCUGACAUAAACGCGCAAGACAGGGUAAUGAUGUUAAAACAUUCUUAUAUUAGCGAAUCUGUCAGCUGGUUGGUUAACACAUUGUUUUUUCUUUUAAAUUUCAGGACGGGUGGACGCCCCUGCACGUUGCAGUACAGGCCAGAAGAAGCGACAUCGUGAAACUUCUUUUGAUAAAAGGGGCUGACAUACAAGUGAAGAACAAGGCUAGUUCCAUCACCUUCCCACUAGUCCGCUUUUGUAUUAUUAUCGUUAUUAUGAUUCUGAUGAUGCCGUUUUUUUUUGACUAAUUCCAACAGGAUGGGUUAACUCCGCUGGGCCUUUGCCUCUACCUUGGAAGAGAGACAAGGACGUAUGAAGUGUUGAAAAUGUUGAAAGAGUUUCCCCGUAGUAGACUCAAGAGAUUGGUAACGGAUUAAGCUUUACUGGACCACGCUCUCACAUUUUGGUCGGUGUUUUUCUUUUGCGUUUGUUUUCGCACCGGAAAUUAACAAAGCCGAAAUCAUAUUUACCCAAAAGAAUAUUACUACCUGUAUAAUAUGUAUAAUAUUAAUACUAGAUUUUGAUCCAGGCUUUCAAAACGCAUAAUUUUUUGUUGUUGAAUUAACCCAUCUGGUUUUUCUCUAAUAUGUUUAUACAUAGAUGUUUGAUGUUC
This 7653-nucleotide long non-coding RNA is filed under the name Brassica napus (rape). RNAcentral's name for it is "long non-coding RNA (BNAP_LNC022596)". Lineage: Eukaryota; Viridiplantae; Streptophyta; Magnoliopsida; Brassicales; Brassicaceae. The record is from RNAcentral.